RNAcentral lists this ribosomal RNA (596 nucleotides) under Pseudomonas sp. B14(2022). RNAcentral describes it as "bacterial SSU rRNA". It matches the Rfam family "Bacterial small subunit ribosomal RNA", at positions 1 to 592 of the family's 1533-position model. The record is from RNAcentral. Lineage: Bacteria; Pseudomonadati; Pseudomonadota; Gammaproteobacteria; Pseudomonadales; Pseudomonadaceae.
GAACUGAAGAGUUUGAUCAUGGCUCAGAUUGAACGCUGGCGGCAGGCCUAACACAUGCAAGUCGAGCGGUAGAGAGAAGCUUGCUUCUCUUGAGAGCGGCGGACGGGUGAGUAAUGCCUAGGAAUCUGCCUGGUAGUGGGGGAUAACGUUCGGAAACGGACGCUAAUACCGCAUACGUCCUACGGGAGAAAGCAGGGGACCUUCGGGCCUUGCGCUAUCAGAUGAGCCUAGGUCGGAUUAGCUAGUUGGUGGGGUAAUGGCUCACCAAGGCGACGAUCCGUAACUGGUCUGAGAGGAUGAUCAGUCACACUGGAACUGAGACACGGUCCAGACUCCUACGGGAGGCAGCAGUGGGGAAUAUUGGACAAUGGGCGAAAGCCUGAUCCAGCCAUGCCGCGUGUGUGAAGAAGGUCUUCGGAUUGUAAAGCACUUUAAGUUGGGAGGAAGGGCCAUUACCUAAUACGUGAUGGUUUUGACGUUACCGACAGAAUAAGCACCGGCUAACUCUGUGCCAGCAGCCGCGGUAAUACAGAGGGUGCAAGCGUUAAUCGGAAUUACUGGGCGUAAAGCGCGCGUAGGUGGUUUGUUAAGUUGGA